UUCAUAAACCUAAGAUCUUCCACCGAAAAUCUUCAAAGAAAUUGAUCCCCCCUAAAUCCUUUGGAUUUUCUCUUCCUCUUCUUGUCGCUGUGUACUUUCAUGGCUUCAAAAGAGACCCAAUUAGGUAUGAAUGAUGAGGCUAU
This is a long non-coding RNA of Juglans regia (Persian walnut), 143 nucleotides long. RefSeq lists it as uncharacterized. The record is from RefSeq and is a predicted model, not a curated record. The transcript is spliced from 3 exons. Lineage: Eukaryota; Viridiplantae; Streptophyta; Magnoliopsida; Fagales; Juglandaceae.